This is a long non-coding RNA of Megalopta genalis, 571 nucleotides long. RefSeq lists it as uncharacterized. The record is from RefSeq and is a predicted model, not a curated record. Lineage: Eukaryota; Metazoa; Arthropoda; Insecta; Hymenoptera; Halictidae.
UGUGUUUACCUACAGUGCCCUAAUAAGAAAUCUACAGUUUAUACAAUAAUAGAACAUUCGAAUAAGAUAGCGUUCAUAGGAACACCUUUAUGUUACGGGCGCUGAUAAGAAAAUGUUCUGACAACCUACACCGUAUUUAUGUUUUUUACAAUGUGCUACUUGAAUCUAAAACUAUCAAACGUUUUAUAAAUAAGUACGUAACGACAUAUUGCAAGUUUCAAAGAUGAACACCCCUACACAGCUGGUUCAAGGUCAUCAUACAAGUUCAGAGAAGGGAAGAACUGUGAUACCCCUUCAGUUCGAGGAUGGAGAAAUGGGGUUCCGCUUUCAUUCUUAGGACCUUACAGAAAUCAAUAACAGGAAAUUCGACAUAACUUCAUUCAUAUUCAUGCAUCUAUUUGUCUGAUAACAUGAUGGAAAUUUUUGGAAGACUACAUAGUUCAGCUGGUAUCUACAUACAUCGGUUUCCCUUCCAGUGGCAUAAUCACAACAUUACUUUAUGGGCCAAUAAAUUAAACAAAUUUAUUUGCGAAGACUCUGAGAGAAUUUAAAUGAAGCAUUUAAAAAUUUA